RNAcentral lists this long non-coding RNA (4786 nucleotides) under Zostera marina. RNAcentral describes it as "long non-coding RNA (ZMAR_LNC000611)". The record is from RNAcentral. Lineage: Eukaryota; Viridiplantae; Streptophyta; Magnoliopsida; Alismatales; Zosteraceae.
AAAAGAGGCUAUCACCCCCCCUUAUAGCCUCGGAUCACGAUCCAACAAGUGGUAUCAGAGCCAAGUUCCGUUGAAGUCAGACUAACAUCUUACAACAACAACUAUGGCUUCAAAUGGUGAAAACAGUACGGGUCUUGCAUCGAACAAACCUCCCAGGUUCGAUGGAGUAAAGUAUGACUUCUGGAAGAACAAGAUGAAGUUAUACUUGAAGUCAAUCAACAAUGGAGUCUGGAAAAUCGUAUUAGAGGAUUAUGAAAUUCCAACAAGCAAUGAAGAGACUUGGGGAGAAAUGGAUAUUCUCAAGGAAAACAACAACUCAAGAGCGUUGAAUGCACUAUAUGGCGCUCUUAAUGAAUCUGAGUACAGCAGAAUUCGAUGCUUGGAUACAGCUUACAAGGUAUGGAAAGCUUUGGAGGAUUUACAUGAAGGAACCUCCCACGUCAAAGAAAAUAAACUACUACAUGCCACUUCUCAGUUCGAAAGAUUCUCUAUGAGGGAAGAUGAGACUAUCGCAGAAAUGAACAUUCGACUAUCACAAAUAGUCAAUGAUCUGGCUGGAUUAGGGGAUCCAGUAUCUGAGAAGAAGCAAGUAAGCAAAAUUCUGAGGAGCCUCCCAGACAAGUACUACUCCAAAAGGAAUGCUAUCCAAGAGGCUCAUGAUCUCAACAAACUUACAGUUGUGGAACUCUGUGGAAAUCUGAUGGCCUAUGAAGAAGAAAGAUUCCUCUCUAGAGCUAAAGAAGAGAAAAAGGAUAUCGCUUUUAAAAGUCAAUCUGACAAUGAAACAUCAGAAGAUGAUCUAGCAAUGAUCACCAAUCAUAUGAGAAGAUAUCUGAAAAAGAGGAAAGAGAAGAAAAACUCAAGGUCAAGCCAUCAGAAGAUCAACAGAAGAAUAAGCAAGGAGUCAAAAGAACCAAUCUGUUAUCUAUGCAACAGGUCUGGACACAUCAAACCAGAAUGUCCUCUGCUAAAGAAAGAAAGGGCAAAUCAGGCACAAUGGACAGACUCCGACUCAGAUCAAGAAGACUGCCUCAUGGCUCAUGAGAACGACUCUGAGGUAAACUUUACAAAUACUAGAUUUAAUUCAUUAGAAGAAGCAUUUCUAGAAUUAAUGGAUAAAUAUAAAGCUGAGAAAAAAUUAAGUAAAUCAUUAAGGCUAGAAUGCAUGAAUAAAUCACAUAUAGAUCAAUCUACUGAAUUAGAAGAAUCACAAAAAGAAUGCAUGCAAUUGAAAGAAAGAAAUCUAAAACUCACAAGUAAAUUAAACAAAGAUAAAGAAAAAAUCAAGAUACUUAAGAGUCAAAACUUUGAAUUACUUAACAUUUUAGAAUCUGAAGAAAAUCAAUCUAAGGAAAUAGAUGAUGAUAAGAUUGAAUUGCUAGAAUUAAAAAUAGAUAAUUUUGAAGAAGACAUUAUGUUAAAAGAAAAAGAAAUAAUCAUGCUCAAAACAGAAAUAGAAUCUAAGGACAAAAUCAUACUUGAGCAUGUAGAAAACAUACAAAAAUUAUCUGAAAAAUGUAAUGAUAUGCAAUUACAAAUCAAAAGAAUAGGUCAGAAGAAUAAUAUUCUUGAGAAAUUCUUCAGUAGUUCAUCAAAGUUAGAUAAUAUGUUGCAAGGCUCGAACUUGGGUCAAAAGAAAUUUGGCUUAGGGUUUGAGUCAAAUGCACCGAUUAACAGAACCCUAAAUGACACAACGUAUAAUAAUCAUUUUGAAAGGAAUCAAGUUAUACAAAACCUUUGCAUGCUUUAAUACAUAAUAAUCAUUCUAGCAAUACAAAGUUCAUUCAUCUUAAGAAAAAGAAAAAUCAUUCUAAGGUGAAUCAUCCAAAGCAACGAUGGAUGACUAAAGAUGAAUUACGAAACUAUAAGCAGAUUAAAUAUGUUAAUUCAUCAGGACCCAACUCAGUAUGGGUACCAAAAGACUAUUCAACUCUUUCAGGAAAAACAUGUGUCAAAAUGGCUGUUCGACAGUGGAUGCACAAGGCACAUGACUGGAGAUUCAAGUCUGCUGACAGACCUGACCGACUGGCCUACUACCAAGAAGGCCAAGUUCGCCGAUAACAACGAAGGUACCAUUGUAGGUAGGGGUAAUAUAGGUAAUAUAGAUAAACCAUUUCUUAGAGAUGUUUACUUAGUUAAUGGCCUUAAACAUAAUCUUAUCAGCAUAAGUCAAUUAUGUGAUAAUGAUUGCACAGUUAAAUUUGAAAAACAUCUAUGCUCAAUCAUUAACUCCAAGGGAGUUAUAAUUGCUAAAGGAUAUAGGAAAAACAAUGCUUAUUCCAUAACCUUUAAUCCCUCCAAGUCAACUCAUGACUUCUGCAUGAUUGCAGCAAGUGAUGAAAAGACUUUAUGGCAUAGAAGGUUAGGUCACACCAGUUAUUCUCGAUUAUCCAAACUAUCAAAAGAAGAACUGGUAACUGGACUGCCUAAAAUAGCAUAUGAGAAAAGUAAUCUCUGUGAUGCUUGUCAAAAAGGGAAACAGCAUAAAGCUCAUUCAAAUCCCUUACAGAUAUUACUACGUCCAGACCUUUGGAACUUCUACACAUGGACUUAUUUGGGCCAACCCAAACCCAAAGUCUUGGUGGUAAAAGGUUUACGUAUGUAAUAGUAGAUGACUACUCAAGAUUUACUUGGGUUUUCUUCUUACGAAAUAAAAGUGACUCAUUCAACGAGUUCUCAUCAUUUUGUACACGUGUUCAAAAUGAGAAGGAUGUCCUCAUAAAAAGAAUCAGAAGUGAUCAUGGAGGAGAAUUCGAGAACUCUGAAUUUGAAGAAUUUUGCAAAACUCAUGGAAUAAAACAUGAAUUUGCUUUUCCCCAAGCACCCCCUCAGAAUGGAGUUGUUGAAAGGAAAAACAGAACUCUACAAGAAAUGAGUAGAUCCAUGUUACAAGAACAUGAUUCACCACAGUAUCUUUGGGCAGAAGCUGUUAACACAGCCUGUUAUAUAUUAAACAAGGUGAUUAUUAGAAAAACCUUGAACAAAACUCCAUAUGAGAUCUGGAAUGGAAGAAAGCCAAAAGUCUCAUAUUUCAAGGUCUUUGGAUGCAAAUGUUAUGUUCUCCGAACAAGAGGCAACCAAGAUAAAUUUGCUCAGAAAUCUGAUGAAGGUAUCCUGGUAGGAUACUCUAGAAGGAGCAAAGCUUACAAAAUUCUUCUCAAAGAAAAACAAAUAAUGAUCGAAUCAUUACACGUUGACUUUGAUGAAUCCACUCAGACAACCAUUGUAGAAGAAGAUGAAAUCCACUCAGACAACCAUUGUAGAAGAAGAUGAAAUAGUUCCAGAAGAAAUCAUCAUUCCAACUGAAGAAACUACCAAUGACGAAAUCGAAGUCUUUGAGCCUCAAUCCAACAGGCUGCUCAGGAAUCCACAUUCCACUGAUCAAAUCAUUGGUGACCAUCAAGCUGGCGUUAAAACCAGAUCAUCCAUUCAAGGAAACAGUGUUCUUGACUGUUUUGUCUCUCAAAUUGAGCCUAAGAAAGUUGAUGAAGCCCUCGACGACGACUACUGGAUUCAAGCUAUGCAAGAAGAACUUAACCAAUUUGAGAGAAAUGAUGUAUGGGAACUAGUUCCAAAACCAAAAGAUACAUCAAUCAUUGGGACAAGAUGGGUAUUCAGAAAUAAGCUGGAUGAAGAUGGAACUAUAAUAAGAAACAAAGCUAGACUGGUUGCGCAAGGAUACAAUCAACAAGAAGGAAUUGAUUAUGAUGAAACCUUUGCACCAGUAGCUAGACUAGAGUCUAUCAGAAUGCUCCUAUCCUUUGCAUGUUAUAAAGAUUUCAAAUUAUAUCAAAUGGAUGUAAAGAGUGCAUUCUUGAAUGGAAUAGUCAAUGAACAAGUAUAUGUUAAACAACCCCCUGGUUUCGAAGAUUACAAAAACCCUGAUCAUGUCCUUAAACUUAAGAAAGCCCUCUAUGGUCUGAAACAAGCACCCCGAGCUUGGUAUGAAAGACUAAGAAACUUUCUCACUUCUCAGGAAUUUAGAAUGGGGAGUAUAGAUAAUACAUUGUUCAUUAAAAAUGUCAAAAGUGACAUUAUUCUAAUUCAAAUCUAUGUUGAUGACAUUAUAUUUGGAUCAACAGAUGAUACUCUAUGUAAGAAAUUUUCCAAACAAAUGGAAGACGAAUUUGAAAUGAGUAUGAUGGGAGAGUUGACUUUUUUCUUAGGUCUACAAGUCAAACAGAAGGAGAAUGGAAUAUUCCUAAGUCAAGUCAAAUAUGCUAAGGAAUUAAUAAAGAAAUUUGACUUGACUGAAUCUAAAUCUAUGCCAACUCCGAUGAGUUCAACUCUUAAAUUGGACAAAGAUGUUGAAGGUCAAUCAGUAGACAUUAAGAAAUACAGAGGAAUGAUUGGAUCACUGCUAUACCUAACAGCCAGUAGACCAGACAUCAUGUUUGCAGUCUGCUUAUGUGCCAGAUUCCAAUCAGACCCAAAAGAGUCACAUCUCAAAGCGGUUAAAAGAAUAAUCAGGUAUAUCAAAGGAACAAUUACACUUGGAUUAUUCUACCCUAAGGACAACUCAUUCACACUGACAGCAUACUGUGAUGCUGACUUUGGUGGAUGCAAGACUGACAGAAAAAGCACUAGUGGAACAUGCUUUCUGUUGGGAAGCUCACUCGUAGCAUGGUCAUGUAAAAAGCAAAAUAGUAUUGCUUUAUCCACAACUGAAGCAGAAUAUAUGGCAGCAUCUAAUGCAUGCACUCAAAUUUUGUGGAUGAAACAAACAUUAUCCGACUACGAUAUAGCUUUAGAAACAGUAGCUCUUAAAUGUGACAACAAGAGUACA